This 76-nucleotide transfer RNA is filed under the name Clostridiales bacterium. RNAcentral describes it as "tRNA-Gln". It matches the Rfam family "tRNA". From Rfam's summary of the family: Transfer RNA (tRNA) molecules are approximately 80 nucleotides in length. Their secondary structure includes four short double-helical elements and three loops (D, anti-codon, and T loops). Further hydrogen bonds mediate the characteristic L-shaped molecular structure. tRNAs have two regions of fundamental functional importance: the anti-codon, which is responsible for specific mRNA codon recognition, and the 3' end, to which the tRNAs corresponding amino acid is attached (by aminoacyl-tRNA synthetases). tRNAs cope with the degeneracy of the genetic code in two manners: having more than one tRNA (with a specific anti-codon) for a particular amino acid; and 'wobble' base-pairing, i.e. permitting non-standard base-pairing at the 3rd anti-codon position. RNAcentral also lists the same sequence under 1 other name. Lineage: Bacteria; Bacillati; Bacillota; Clostridia; Eubacteriales. The record is from RNAcentral.
AGGGGUAUCGCCAAGCGGUAAGGCAACGGACUCUGACUCCGUCACUUCGGUGGUUCGAAUCCAUCUACCCCUGCCA